GGAGUGUCAGUAAAACCCAGUCAGAAUUACUGUCUUCUGAACUCCAUGCGAGAAAACUCCAUUACUCUGACUCUGUUGGAUCUUCCACCAGAUUUACUCUGUCGCUCUCUGAGACUCCAUGUAACAGCAACUGCAUUUUAAUGCAAUGGCAACUACGAAAACCACAAAACUAUCAGUCAUUGUCAAAUACUUCAUAAAUGGAGACAGAGAAGGGGUUCAGUUCUCUGUGUAACAAGGACAGAGGAGAAAGGCAUCUGCAGUGUCAAAUCUACAGAGACAAGUGCACCUGGAGACAAAUGACCAGACUACCAUAAAACAGAAGCCUAAUUAUGUUCACUUACAUUUCAAAUCAUUCCCAACAAAUUACCCUGAAAACUAUAUAAGUUGAAAAAUUGGCAAAAAAAUCUGAAUAGACACCUCGCCAAAGAAGAUAUACCAAUGGCAAAGAAGCUAUGAAGAUAUGAUGAACAUUAUGUCAUUAAAGAAUUGCAAAGUAAAACAAUGAUGCAACACUACUACAUGCAUAUUAUAAUGGUGAAAAUCCAAACACUGCUAACAUCAAAUGCUGAUGAAGAUGUGGAACAGGAGAAACUGUCAUUCAUUGCUGGUGGGAAUACAAAAUGGUACAGCC
Non-coding RNA from Macaca mulatta (Rhesus monkey), 631 nucleotides. The record is from RefSeq and is a predicted model, not a curated record. Lineage: Eukaryota; Metazoa; Chordata; Mammalia; Primates; Cercopithecidae.